AGUUAUUGGACGUCAAGUUGCUGUAUUGUUCAGAAUCUGAAUCAGAUUCUUUAAGCAAGUGGGGUUUUUUUUACAGCUAGCUGAGCUGGAAGAAAAACAGCAAUGAGUUCAACAUGCCCAACACUUCGAGAAGAAUUCCGCGUGAAAAAAUUCCUCUUCUCAGGAGUUCAUACGGGAAGAUUCUACAAUUUUCAUUGGCGACUUCCCCCAUUUAUCUUUCUCUUGUAUCGACUGUGUUUGGCAAUAUAUGUGGACUUCUGGCUGAUAUAUUUUGGUCGUCUACACACGUCGAAAUCAACCACGUCUGAACACGGCCCUCAGCCCUGGUCGUGCUAUCUGACUGUGUGGACCUACACUGUACUGGCCCUGUUUCUCACCAUUUACGCAGUCAUUGUUCUCAUGUAUUAUUUGUUUCAUCCCUCCACACUAUUCCAAGCACCAUCUCAAGAAUAUCACGCCAACCUAUUCCAUGAACUUUCCUCAUCGGAUGGAUACAGACAAUUGGGUUACGAACAGAUCAUGGACGAUGACUAUGAAAUGGAAAUACAACCUCUCAGCAACAUGUUGCCAUGGUAUCUGAAGCUGGUGUGGAUUCUGCAGAAUAUUGUGUUUGUUGCUGCUGUUAUUGUGACGAUGGUAUUUUUUGUCUUCCUGCUGCCUCAAAUGAAAGGUGUUUCUGGGAUCUCGUUGGAGAAUCUCCAGCUGCAUGCCCUGAACACUGUGAUAGUUGUCGUGGAGAGCCUGGUAAGUGCUGUGCCACACAGACUGCUGCACAUCGUGUACUGUGCGUUGUACGCGCUGGUGUAUGUGCUGUUCAGCGUGUUCUACUGGGUCCCGGACCACGCCCACGUCAUGUACCCCAACGUCCUCGACUGGAACCAGCCCGCUCACACUGUGGGCAUGAUCUGUCUUAUCGCAUUUGUCUUCUUUCCUCUUCUCCAAAUGUUAUAUCACUUGAUUUAUCGCCUCAAAAUAUUCAUACUUCAACAAGUCCUAUCUGUUUGACAGGCAGUGCAAAUAAACCAAAAGUCAAGAAUUCUGUGAUGUUUAUCAGGUAUAAUGAUCCACUAAGCAUAGGCAUUGGAAGUGUGUGGGCCGAGAGGUGGGAGGUGUUGUUUAGUUGCAACUCUAAGUAUUAUGCAUUGAGGCCUCCCCCCCCCCCCCCCCCCACCCCCAUCAGUUGACUUGUAAAUUAAUGUAACUGGCCACUCCAAUUAUUGGCAUCCUCCAUCAACUAUACUAAACUUAUGAAACAAAACUGUGACACGCCAACCGUAAUUAUGUGUUUUGUAAGAAAAAUCUCAACUUCUGUCACAAAACUGACACCCCACCUGUAAUUAUAUAUUUUGUGGGGCAAAUCUUAAGUCACUAAUGUAAUAGUAGGUUUGUUUAAAACAGGCAAAUCUUAAGUUCUGUCACUAAUGUAACAGUAGGUUUGUUUAAAACAGGCAAAUCUUAAGUUACUGUUUAAAUUACAACACUGGCCGUGUUAGAACUCUCUUCAUAUACCGUGUGCUACCCACCCUGGUAUCGGUAUCACAGUAUUGUUACUGAUUAAGCUACAACACUGGCCGUGUUAGAACUCUCUUCAUAUACCGUGUGCUACCCACCCUGGUAUCGGUAUCACGGUAUUGUUACUGAUUAAACUACAUCACUGGCCGUGUUAGA
Molecule: unclassified non-coding RNA, 1668 nt
Filed under: Gigantopelta aegis
Lineage: Eukaryota; Metazoa; Mollusca; Gastropoda; Neomphalida; Peltospiridae
Description: protein rolling stone-like, transcript variant X2
Source: RNAcentral